Helianthus annuus (common sunflower) is the source of this 2262-nucleotide long non-coding RNA. RefSeq lists it as uncharacterized. The transcript is spliced from 2 exons. The record is from RefSeq and is a predicted model, not a curated record. Lineage: Eukaryota; Viridiplantae; Streptophyta; Magnoliopsida; Asterales; Asteraceae.
UCUCAAGCCACUCGCUUCCCCAGUCGCUUCACUGGCCAUAACCAAGACACGAAUUAGACCACCCCAACGGUAGAUAAAAAGGACCACGGUCAGUGACGGAUUCAGAAACUUUUUUGAGGAGGUGCAAAAAUAUAAAAAAAUUCAUACUGUUUUUACGACCUACCUACCAUGUGAUUAGUUAGUUAAGUCAUCACAAGGGUGUGGUGCGAAGACUUUGUGUAGGUGAAUCACGCGGGUGUGUAUGCGUCUUCAGGCAGCUUGGUUACCCUAUAUGUAUAAACCAUCGUCUAUGCAUUAUUUACUCAGAUGAAAGUUGAGUGUUUCUAAAAUCGGCUGCAAUGUCUUCACAACGAAGUUUUCUACUCAAUAUAAUUGGUAGUAGUGUUGAGUAAAAAAAGGAGAAGCUACGGAUUAUCAUCGCGCAUUUUAACACCCUAUAUAUACAACCCAUCUCUAUCUUUAUGGAUAUUUCCAAGAUCUUAUCCUCUCUUGAUACCCUAACUUCACAUUUUUAUUACUCUACAAUGCCAAACCACAGUUCUAAUAGAUCCAUGUCUAAAUCGGCUGAAUUAUAUAUAGUUUACUAUGCUUAAACCAGUUCUUAUGACAUGUCUAACCAAGUUGAUGUGUCCAACCCGGACAUAUCAAAUAAAAUUCAUGAGGAAACCGAUGAACUUGGCACCCAAGAACAAAUAUCUUUUCAAGCCACCCCCGAUCCUAAAAGGGGAGUAAGGCAACUUCAUGAUCCUCGUGGCUUUAAGGUUGUACAUGUGUAGUCGUAUCUCGCCACACAUCAAAAUACACACAAGUCAUUUGCCUCAAGUAUUUGGAACAGGAAUCUGUCUUCCGGUGCCACCGUGCUUUUCGGAAAUGUCUUGUUGGAAACCAACACCAUAACCAAAUGUAAAGCACACACAUUCUCGAUGUAACUUCUAAAAAUGGGCAGAAUGCCAUGGUCGAACUCCGUGUGGAAAAUUGCGAGUCCUUCAACAGGACUAAUGUUUUUGCCAAUACUAAUGCUUAUUAUUUCUUGGUUUGUAACUUUCUUAUUGAGCUCAGAUUUGCUUUUUGCUCAAUAAAAAAGUUACAAACCAAGAAAUAAUGAACAUUAGUAUUGACAAAAACAUUAGUCGUGUUAGGACUCACAAUUUUCCACACGGAGUUCGACCAUGACAUUCCGCCCAUUUUUAGAAGUUACAUCGAGAAUGUGCGUGCUUUACAUUCAGUUAUGGUGUGGGUUUCGACAAGACAUUUCUGAAAAGCACGGUGGCACCGGAAGACAGAUUCCUGUUCUAAAUACUCAAGGCAAAUGACUUGUGUGUAUUUAGAUGUGUGGUGAGAUACGGCUACACAUGCACAACCUUGAAUCCACAAUGAUCAUGAAGUUGCCUUACUCCCCUUUGAGGAUCGGGGGUGGCUUGAAAAACUAUUUGUUCCUGGGUGCUAAGUUCAUCGGUUUCCUUUGGAUUUCAGUUGAUAUGUCUGGGUUGGACACAUCAGCUUGGUUAGACAUAUCAUGAGAAUUGUUUUGAGCGUGUUCAUCUACAUAUACUUUGGCCGAAUUAGACAUUGAACUAUUAGAACUGUGGUUUGACAUUGUGGAGUAAUAAAAGUGUAAAGUUAGGGUAUGAAGACAGGAGAAGAUGUUGGAGAUAUCCAUAGAGAUGAGUUAUAUAUAGGGACGUUAAAAUGUGUGAUGAUUCUUAGCUUCUUUUUUUUUUACUGCAAGAAAUUGAAUAUGGAUGAAUCAUGUACACCACAUUAUCAAAAGAUUAUGUUGUAACAAGAAUUAGGCAAGUGCAACCAAAGAAAGCUAAUAGGUUAGUUAGAGACGGGUACUUGUUAUAUCUUUUUAUUUAUGAGAACAACUACUGAGAUGUAAUAUGAGGCUGUGGUAAUUUAAUGAAUUUACAAUAUUGCAUUAUCGAAUUUGUGGAGUUUGCAAACAGUAAGAAGUAUAAAAGAACUUCAGUCAUGUAUAACAAAACAAAUAUUUAAAAGUAGUGGAACGAAGAAAUCAUAUAAAUUUUACGUCAACACUACAACAAAUUGUUUUAACUAGUUGAAUUACUCACACGUUACGGCGAGUCUUCGGUAGAUUUUGUUUCACUUGUUACAUUUUUGGGUACGAUAUACACACUCGGUAUAAAAAUUGUAAUAAAUAUGUCUAAGAUGAAAUCUACCCGUGUUUUACAUUGAUCGAAAAACGUAAAAAACGAAUGCCAGCACAACACUUUUCUUGACGCGCAAGAGCAUGGCAAA